This 2425-nucleotide long non-coding RNA is filed under the name Homo sapiens (human). RNAcentral describes it as "HSALNT0335845". Lineage: Eukaryota; Metazoa; Chordata; Mammalia; Primates; Hominidae. The record is from RNAcentral.
AGCGGGUCCCAGCUGACGGAAGGUGGGGGAGGAGUGCGAGGGUCUCUGAGACAGGUUGGGAGCCAGCCCCACCUCCAUUUCCAAAGCGGGGGUCCAGGCACAGGAACAGCCAAACGCCCGAACCAGCGGGGUUACCUUUGCCACUUCAUCCAAUCCGAGCAUCGGCUGACAAGUUUAUUUAAUCCCUGAACCUGGAUCCAAGGCAUCUCCCUGUAGAAAACAUCAGACCGGGGCAGAGAUUGACAAAGCAACCCAAAGCAGCAGCUGCCAACGGCCGCUGUGCCCACCUCAUCAGCAGCUAAAGAGUAUAAUUUUAAAAAAAGUCACAGAAGAAUGUGGAGACACUUAGCAAAACGGACUCUCAUAAGAGGUUCCCUAUUUUGUCAGUAAGGAAGUAAACAACCGCUAAAACAACCCUCUAACAACAGAAGACCCUCAUGAGAACACCAGGCAGCAGAAGCUUCUUUAGCAGUAAAAGAUAUCUGGAUAUUCAUAUUUUGUUCCAUGAUCUUCAACAUUAAAUAAAUAAACUUAAUAUUCAAGUCUCCUUCUGCAUUCCUAGAAGAGGAUGUUAUUCAGAUAUCCAAUGCCCUGCAAUACUGUCAGUGCAGCUCAACAAAGUCAAUUCUGUUAGCAUCAAGAAUGCUCCUGACUGAAUGAGGACAAAUCCCAUCUUUAUUAUCAAUAACACUUUAGAUAUGGAAAAGUGAUACUAUUCAGGAAAAUAAGGAGAGCAGAGGUUUGCUGCCAUAAAAAUCCCCAUGCUUGUUACUCUAGCUUUUACCACCCUAAUUUUGCUUCAUUUCCCCUAGCCUUAACUCAGUUACAUUUCUUAAAUUAUUGUUCAGAAUCAUCUGUCCUUUCCACUGUCAUGUAAGCUUCAUGAAAAUAGACUUCACCUUUUGUUCACAGCUGUCUCAGCACCUUUAGCAGUGCCUUAUAGGAGGUGUUCAGUAAAUACCGUUGAAUGAAAAAUGAAUUAAGCAAAGAGGCAGAGCAGGGUGCAGGCUGACUUAAGCUGUGACCUGAGCCAUUUCCCUUAAGUUCUCUUUUUUAUAAUUUCCCUUUUCAAUGGAUAUAUAUCCUCAGACAUGGGGCAAAUUGGCUACAGCAGUUUCUUACUGGCAACAUUGAGGGGAAGAUAGAGGUGCUUCCAGAAUCACUCCCAUAGGAGCAAAAAAGUUUCCUGGAGGUGCCCAGUAGACCUUGACAGGAGCCCUUCCAGUGAAGUGAUUUGGGUUAAACGAAUGGAAAGAGUGAAUGUUAAUAAGAAAAAAAAGCUAAUGGAGAAAACUCUAAUGAUGAGUUUUGCUGAAAAACAAACCAGAAAAAUUUAGCUGGGAGGAGGAUUUGGAGUCAAUAAGGGUGGUGGUAUUUUUCUUCAUUGUGAAAAAAACAGUGCAUUUUUAUACUACUGGAAAGAACAUCAGGUAAUUUUAGAAGGAAAAGCAGAUAAUUUCAGGAGCAAAGUCCUUGAACAGGCAAGAGAGGAUACAAUCCAAUAAAUAAAUGGAAGUGGUAGUCAUCCCUAACAAUAAGAAGAAAGCAGAAUUUAUGGCUACAUAAAUGAAUACGUACCAGAUUUGCUGGUGGGAAGAUGAGCUAGUCUUUUCUGAUUGCUUCUACUUUCCCAGUGAAAUAAAAACCAAGGUCAUCAGCUGAAGUGGGGAAUGGAGGAGAGGAUAUUGGAGACUAGAAGAAGAGAAGAAAUUAUUAAGUUGUUAUGAGAAAGUGUGAAUUUUCUAGAACUGCUGAGCAACACUGAAGUCCUGCUUUUGAAAUUUUGGUCAUAAAUUUAAAGUAUGACUAGUCAGCUAGGUGUGGUAAGCCAUGGAGUAGGCAAAAAAUUGGGUUAAUUUGGACCUAUGUUUUGAGUUUAGUAUGUGUUGAAAGAAACUAAGGAAAUGGUGCAUGUUUGCAAAGGAGAGAGUAUGGUGAUGGACCAUGGACUCUAAGCCAGGAAGAGCAGACGUGAGAAUAUGAAGGGGGUGAUGGGCAGCAUAAAUUAGUGAGAUCAAUAGACUCCAUGUGCCGUCAAAUUAAAGAAUUGUAAGUAUGUUCCAGAGUAAUAAGGCUGGAUAGAGAGGAGAGAAUUAUGUAGCUGGGAUCUAUCAUGCCCGGGCUUCUUUGUAUGAGAAACAGAACACUUGCUACUAAUUUUAAAUAUUUCCAUUUUCAAUUCAAUAACUUAUGUCUGUUAAAUUUUUUAAUGUAAACAUUUAAACACUACUUACACAACUAACAAAUUAUUAAUAAAUCAAAAUGUGUUAAUUUUAUAAAUAAGUUUAUCUUAAACAUUUAGAUGUGGAUUUCAAACACAAAUAUCCUUAAAUAUUAGGGAAAAACAUGAUGUAACAUAUUAAAUUUCUUAAGUGCUUUUACUAUCUUAAACAUAUACACCAAUUAUUUCAAUGAUAAACAUUUA